UUUACGGAGAGUUUGAUCCUGGCUCAGGACGAACGCUGGCGGCGUGCUUAACACAUGCAAGUCGAACGAUGAUGCCCAGCUUGCUGGGUGGAUUAGUGGCGAACGGGUGAGUAACACGUGAGUAACCUGCCCCUGACUCUGGGAUAAGCGUUGGAAACGACGUCUAAUACUGGAUAUGAUCACUGGCCGCAUGGUCUGGUGGUGGAAAGAUUUUUUGGUUGGGGAUGGACUCGCGGCCUAUCAGCUUGUUGGUGAGGUAAUGGCUCACCAAGGCGACGACGGGUAGCCGGCCUGAGAGGGUGACCGGCCACACUGGGACUGAGACACGGCCCAGACUCCUACGGGAGGCAGCAGUGGGGAAUAUUGCACAAUGGGCGAAAGCCUGAUGCAGCAACGCCGCGUGAGGGAUGACGGCCUUCGGGUUGUAAACCUCUUUUAGUAGGGAAGAAGCGAAAGUGACGGUACCUGCAGAAAAAGCACCGGCUAACUACGUGCCAGCAGCCGCGGUAAUACGUAGGGUGCAAGCGUUGUCCGGAAUUAUUGGGCGUAAAGAGCUCGUAGGCGGUUUGUCGCGUCUGCUGUGAAAUCCCGAGGCUCAACCUCGGGCUUGCAGUGGGUACGGGCAGACUAGAGUGCGGUAGGGGAGAUUGGAAUUCCUGGUGUAGCGGUGGAAUGCGCAGAUAUCAGGAGGAACACCGAUGGCGAAGGCAGAUCUCUGGGCCGUAACUGACGCUGAGGAGCGAAAGCAUGGGGAGCGAACAGGAUUAGAUACCCUGGUAGUCCAUGCCGUAAACGUUGGGCGCUAGAUGUAGGGACCUUUCCACGGUUUCUGUGUCGUAGCUAACGCAUUAAGCGCCCCGCCUGGGGAGUACGGCCGCAAGGCUAAAACUCAAAGGAAUUGACGGGGGCCCGCACAAGCGGCGGAGCAUGCGGAUUAAUUCGAUGCAACGCGAAGAACCUUACCAAGGCUUGACAUACACCGGAAACGGCCAGAGAUGGUCGCCCCCUUGUGGUCGGUGUACAGGUGGUGCAUGGUUGUCGUCAGCUCGUGUCGUGAGAUGUUGGGUUAAGUCCCGCAACGAGCGCAACCCUCGUUCUAUGUUGCCAGCGGGUUAUGCCGGGGACUCAUAGGAGACUGCCGGGGUCAACUCGGAGGAAGGUGGGGAUGACGUCAAAUCAUCAUGCCCCUUAUGUCUUGGGCUUCACGCAUGCUACAAUGGCCGGUACAAAGGGCUGCGAUA
RNAcentral lists this ribosomal RNA (1241 nucleotides) under Curtobacterium flaccumfaciens pv. flaccumfaciens. Its description in RNAcentral is "bacterial SSU rRNA". It matches the Rfam family "Bacterial small subunit ribosomal RNA", at positions 1 to 1254 of the family's 1533-position model. The record is from RNAcentral. Lineage: Bacteria; Bacillati; Actinomycetota; Actinomycetes; Micrococcales; Microbacteriaceae.